CGCGUAGGCGGACUUUUAAGUCGGAGGUGAAAGCCCAGGGCUCAACCCUGGAAUUGCCUUCGAUACUGGGAGUCUUGAGUUCGGAAGAGGUUGGUGGAACUGCGAGUGUAGAGGUGAAAUUCGUAGAUAUUCGCAAGAACACCGGUGGCGAGGCGGCCAACUGGUCCGAAACUGACGCUGAGGCGCGAAAGCGUGGGGAGCAAACA
This 206-nucleotide ribosomal RNA is filed under the name uncultured bacterium. RNAcentral's name for it is "partial 16S ribosomal RNA". It matches the Rfam family "Bacterial small subunit ribosomal RNA", at positions 568 to 774 of the family's 1533-position model. The record is from RNAcentral.